GAAUUUUAUAUAUAAAAUUUAUUAAUGGUUAAUUAUUUAGUUGAUGAAUGGUUUAUAUAUUUAAUUGGGAGGAUUGUUAAAUUAAUUAAACUUUAAUUAAUAUAGGAAUGAUAUAGAUGAAUAAUUUAUAAAUAUAAAUAUGAAAAAGGAGGAUUUUAUUUUAAUUGAGUAAGAAUUAAUUACCUUAGGGAUAACAGCGUAAUAAUUUUGGAAAGAACAUAUUGAUAAAAUUGAUUGC
RNAcentral lists this ribosomal RNA (238 nucleotides) under Sericomyrmex saussurei. Its description in RNAcentral is "partial large subunit ribosomal RNA". Lineage: Eukaryota; Metazoa; Arthropoda; Insecta; Hymenoptera; Formicidae. The record is from RNAcentral.